This 260-nucleotide long non-coding RNA is filed under the name Phoenix dactylifera (date palm). RNAcentral describes it as "long non-coding RNA (PDAC_LNC001981)". The record is from RNAcentral. Lineage: Eukaryota; Viridiplantae; Streptophyta; Magnoliopsida; Arecales; Arecaceae.
GGUGAAUUGGGUCUUUCAAAACUUUUAAACUACUUCUAAAACUUUUUGAUUAACUAUGCUAAGUUGUAUAGAUGCACAGUGAAAGUUAAACUUAGCAAGGGUUUGAUGUAUAGACUUCGACUUGAUUAAAUAUGCUUGCAACUAAAGGAUGUGCGGAUAAGAAUUAAGCAAGCAAUUUAUCUAAGUAAGUAAGUGUGUUAGUUAGACAAUAACGAGAGGCAUUACAAACACAAAGGACAUAUAGUGGUACGGUGCACCCC